This 253-nucleotide ribosomal RNA is filed under the name uncultured bacterium. Its description in RNAcentral is "partial 16S ribosomal RNA". It matches the Rfam family "Bacterial small subunit ribosomal RNA", at positions 524 to 776 of the family's 1533-position model. The record is from RNAcentral.
UACGAAGGGGGCUAGCGUUGCUCGGAAUCACUGGGCGUAAAGCGCACGUAGGCGGAUUGUUAAGUCAGGGGUGAAAUCCUGGAGCUCAACUCCGGAACUGCCUUUAAGACUGCAUCGCUAGAAUUGUGGAGAGGUGAGUGGAAUUCCGAGUGUAGAGGUGAAAUUCGUAGAUAUUCGGAAGAACACCAGUGGCGAAGGCGACUCACUGGACACAUAUUGACGCUGAGGUGCGAAAGCGUGGGGAGCAAACAGG